RNAcentral lists this long non-coding RNA (1210 nucleotides) under Olea europaea (common olive). Its description in RNAcentral is "long non-coding RNA (OEUR_LNC008365)". Lineage: Eukaryota; Viridiplantae; Streptophyta; Magnoliopsida; Lamiales; Oleaceae. The record is from RNAcentral.
UGGUCAUUAGAUGAAGCAAGUCGAGAAGAACAGGUGCGCCUCUUCCAAGAUGGGGUCUCAGGGUAAGAUUUUCUAAACCAUGCAAUGUCUCUUGACAUUGCUGCUGGAAGACUGAUAUGAUCAAAUGUUGGCUUAUAAAGAAAGGACCAUGCUACAUUCACCUAAUGAUUUACACAAUCUUUUACACACACAACACGUGGCGGCCCCCUAUUGGAGGCGCGGCUGGUGGGGCCGCCAUGUGUUGUGUGUGUAAAAGAUUGUGUAAAUCUUUGUGUACAAAUAGUUUAAUCCAUAAAGAAAUUACAUCUGAUAAAUGAGUGUCAGCUGAAAUGAGAUGGCGUGGUGCUUAUGUGGUAAAACAAGAAGAGGGAGAGAAUUAGAAAUAACCGCAUCUUCGCCGUUGGUUAAGGUAGCAUCCAUUAAAAAUGAAUUUGUGGGAGAAUUAUUUGAGAUGGUUUGGGCACAUCCAAAUGAGCUAAUUAGAAAGGACUUGAGCAUUUGUGGUUUAAGUUUGGAGGCGAAGGGUAGUAUUUUGGGACUUUAUUGCCACAGUAAUUUUCUGAGUAGAGACAUCCUUGACACAAAGAAAAGACAACAAUCCUAUUCCUAUAAAGUACGAAAUUGCAAAAAAACAAAUUCAAGAAAAGAGAGCUAUGAGGCUGCAAAAUGUAUAAUGAAUAAGCUCUUCACCAAUCUAUUUUGGGUUCCUAAACAUUUUGAGGGAACCAUAGCAUUUAAGAGAAGCUACCAUGACAGUCAGCAAUGGAAAUCUGAUCCUAAUAAAAUAAGAUUGUUCUUAAUUCACUUAGUACCAUGCACUUUGAAAAAAACAAAUUAUGUGGCAAAUAGGUACAGCUUUUCUCGUGGAAGGUUGCAUGUAAGUUACACAGUUAGUUACUGGUAUUGUCAUGAUAUCAUGGAAACUAACUAAUUCAACCCGUGUGAGAAGUUGGGCAAUGCAAAUUGCUGUGCUUUUUCCCUCACAUCUUUUCAACUAUUAAUUUUGACAUGAGAAAUAUUUUUUGAUUGCUCUCUUUUCUUCGGAUCUCGCAAUGCACUGAUGCAGUGCUUCAUUCGUUUUCACCUUCUCCAAUAGUACUUAACUUCAUUUUUAUUCUAUCUUGCAUCAAAUCUUAAGCGAUGCAACAAGUGUAGACAUGUUCCAUGUUUUAGUUUAGCACAAUGAUUUUACUAUUAUGAAUGAUACAGU